AACGAACGCUGGCGGCAUGCCUAACACAUGCAAGUCGAACGAGAACUUCGGGCUUAGUGGAGCAGGGGUACGUACCGCGUGGGAACCUGCCCUUAGGUUAGGUAUCACUGCCUGAGGGAGAUCUUAAUAAAAGUUAAUGUCAUAGGACAAAAGAUUUAUUGCGUCUGGAUGGGCCCUCGUUGGAUUCGCCAGUUGGUAGUGUAAAAGCGUAUCAAGGCGAUGAUGCAUAGCUGGUCUGAGAUGAUGACCAGGCACACUGGGACUGAGACACGGCCCAGACUCCGAGGGGAGACAGGAGUAGGUAGUAUUAGACGCGGAACGAUGACCUGGUCCAGCAAUGCGGGGUGAGUGAUGCAGGCCUUAGGAUUGUAAAUCUCUUUUACCCGAGAUGAUAAUGACGGUACCGGGAGAAUAAGCUCCGGCUAACUCCGUG
Molecule: ribosomal RNA, 433 nt
Filed under: uncultured bacterium
Lineage: Bacteria
Description: partial 16S ribosomal RNA
Rfam family: Bacterial small subunit ribosomal RNA
Source: RNAcentral